Elaeis guineensis (African oil palm) is the source of this 1202-nucleotide non-coding RNA. The record is from RefSeq and is a predicted model, not a curated record. NCBI's taxonomy places the organism in Eukaryota, Viridiplantae, Streptophyta, Magnoliopsida, Arecales, Arecaceae.
AAAAAGGCAAUCGAGGCAAAUUAGACUGGAAAAAAAAAUAUUUCCUCAACGGCUUGAAGUCUCCAACGGAUCCGUCGGCGAUCCUCGAUCGGCGAUCGGCGAUUUGCUUGCUGAUAUAUUUAGCGAUAGCUUUCUACUAUCGGAGGAGAAGAGCGAGAAGCAGGAAUUCUUUCGUGGGAUCUCUCGCGCCAGGAUUCAAGUUGAAAUAAUAUGCAUGAGGGAUGCAUGAAAACUUAUGCCCCUGCUGUGGAUAUAACUGAAAGUCCAGUGUCUGAAUUCUGGAAAGGAAGACCUCCUGAAUUUUCCGCUGGUGCAGCCUUGAGUAGCUGCAAAUUUGAGGCUCAGAGAACGAUCCCAGUUGUCCUUCAUUUGCGAAAAGGCAGCUCAGGUUCUUAUGCCUGGGCACAGGAUGGAAGCAGCUUCUGGUGUUAUAGCAACUAAAGCUUUUGGCUGUCACCAUCUUGGAGGCCCGCAUUUGCAUGCAUAUAAUUCUGUUCUUGACUUGAUGGAUCUUCAAUUAUAGGCUACAAUAGCUAGCCUCAACUCCUUGUGAGAAGUUGUGCUGCCAGGUUGAGGGAGGGGAAAUUGGAUUUAAAUUGAGAAUUUGGUGUUUCCAGAGGCAAUGGGAACUGUUGAGAUCACUGUGCUUCUUUCUGGUCCUGGAAGUGCAAGUCUUGCACUGCAUCAAGGAUAUUGUCUGCAUAAUGGCUGUUGCACAAUCCAAAAUGUGUUCGCUAGCUCAAAUGGCUGCAAAUUCAAGUAUCAGAGUUUGAUCCACACUCAUUUCCACCAGGCAAGCUAAACUUUUGCAAAUAAUAUAGAAAUUUGUUAAGCUUUUUGCAUAUAUCUUAAAGCAAGAAAGUGAGUCAUUUGCUAGGUCUUCAUAUAUGAGUCGGUUUGGGUUACAUUGAUUUGACUGUAUGUCACCUUAUUGAUUUUAGCUUUGUCACGCCCCGAACCCAACAUCUGGAUCGGAUAUGUGAUGGCCGCACACUCCUUAGAGCAAACCCUAAAGAAUAUGCAAAGCCAAAAAUAUUUCAUUACAACCUCAACAUCCAUAAUAUCUAAUUUCAGUAAUAACUAGUAAAAUUUGCAUAAUUAUAAAUUAAAUUCUUUCAAUCCUCUGAUCAGGUAUCAUGACACUAUCUAUACAUCUGCUCAUCCGCAAAUCCAUAUCACAGCCAAUCAUGAGUAUCCUGUAA